UCGGGAUAGCUCANCUGGUAAAGCAAAGGACUGAAAAUCCCCCGGGCCCCC
RNAcentral lists this transfer RNA (51 nucleotides) under Gilbertiodendron preussii. Its description in RNAcentral is "partial tRNA-Phe". Lineage: Eukaryota; Viridiplantae; Streptophyta; Magnoliopsida; Fabales; Fabaceae. The record is from RNAcentral.